AUAAAAACUAAAUAAAUACACAAUAUAUACAAGUUAAGCUUAAAAUGUGAAAAACCUGUGCAAUAACCCCUCAUUACUCUACUAAGUAGAAUACCAUAUACGCUUCCAUUAUGUUCAAUACCAUGUGCAAUACUUGAAACUCCCCAUUUUAUCUGUUAUCUUAUUCUUGUAUCCACAAUUUUAUUAACUAUUUUUGUAUUCUCGGGUAAUAUUAUACUUUGACUAGGUGUUUGUUCUUUUGGCUUUAAACUCUUUACUUGAAUCCAGGAGAGCCCUGCACAACAAUUCCUAUAUGCCUAGACUGUGUGUUUAUGCAUAAAUGGCAAAUAAAAAUCUUGAAUCUUGAAUCCUGAAACCUACUUACUUCAGUAACGUCUGCGAAGUUUUCCAAUCCUUUUCAAAAAGACAGAAGUUCUAACAAGUUGUCUCAGGUUUUCACUCAGGAGCAGAAGUUAAUUGGCUGAUACUGUAGAGGGUUUAUCCUUUCACAAGUAAACUUGUUUCAGGUUUGCACUCAGGAGCAGAAGUUAGCAAGUGAUGUGAAUUCGGUUCCCUUUAAUGGAGGCUGUUGUCCUUUGAUGUCAGUUGAUGACAUCACAGGUUGACAUGGCAACAGAACCUUUGGAAUUAUGCUGUUGAAUUAUUUAAAUACAAGUUAUAAAUUGUGUUUUGAUAGUUUGGCGAUGUUGUUUAUUUAAACUUUGAUGCCAGUAAAGUCAUUUGAAUUGAGUUGCUUCAUAUUUCACUUUUUGUUUGUAAAAUGACCAGAUUGUCAUUAGAGCAGCAUGUUUCAUUUGAACUCAUGGUAUCUGCCACAAUAUUAUCUGUGGCACAAAUUCACAUAAAUAGUAUUAUAC
Long non-coding RNA from Monopterus albus (swamp eel), 857 nucleotides. RefSeq lists it as uncharacterized. NCBI's taxonomy places the organism in Eukaryota, Metazoa, Chordata, Actinopteri, Synbranchiformes, Synbranchidae. The transcript is spliced from 2 exons. The record is from RefSeq and is a predicted model, not a curated record.